AUUGAACGCUGGCGGCAUGCCUUACACAUGCAAGUCGAACGGCAGCGGACCUUCGGGUGCCGGCGAGUAGCGAACGGGUGAGUAAUAUAUCGGAACGUACCUUUCAGUGGGGGAUAACGUAGCGAAAGUUACGCUAAUACCGCAUAUUCUGUGAGCAGGAAAGCAGGGGAUCGCAAGACCUUGCGCUGAUUGAGCGGCCGAUAUCAGAUUAGCUAGUUGGUGAGGUAAAGGCUCACCAAGGCGACGAUCUGUAGCGGGUCUGAGAGGAUGAUCCGCCACACUGGAACUGAGACACGGUCCAGACUCCUACGGGAGGCAGCAGUGGGGAAUUUUGGACAAUGGGCGCAAGCCUGAUCCAGCCAUGCCGCGUGAGUGAAGAAGGCCUCGGUUG
RNAcentral lists this ribosomal RNA (391 nucleotides) under uncultured bacterium. RNAcentral's name for it is "bacterial SSU rRNA". It matches the Rfam family "Bacterial small subunit ribosomal RNA", at positions 30 to 425 of the family's 1533-position model. The record is from RNAcentral.